GAUUAAGUUAUUAAGGGCGCACGGUGGAUGCCUUGGCACUAGAAGCCGAUGAAGGACGUUACUAACGACGAUAUGCUUUGGGGAGCUGUAAGUAAGCUUUGAUCCAGAGAUUUCCGAAUGGGGAAACCCAGCAUGAGUUAUGUCAUGUUAUCGAUAUGUGAAUACAUAGCAUAUCAGAAGGCACACCCGGAGAACUGAAACAUCUUAGUACCCGGAGGAAGAGAAAGAAAAUUCGAUUCCCUUAGUAGCGGCGAGCGAAACGGGAAGAGCCCAAACCAACAAGCUUGCUUGUUGGGGUUGUAGGACACUCUAUACGGAGUUACAAAGGACGACAUUAGACGAAUCAUCUGGAAAGAUGAAUCAAAGAAGGUAAUAAUCCUGUAGUCGAAAAUGUUGUCUCUCUUGAGUGGAUCCUGAGUACGACGGAGCACGUGAAAUUCCGUCGGAAUCUGGGAGGACCAUCUCCUAAGGCUAAAUACUCUCUAGUGACCGAUAGUGAACCAGUACCGUGAGGGAAAGGUGAAAAGCACCCCGGAAGGGGAGUGAAAUAGAACCUGAAACCGUGUGCUUACAAGUAGUCAGAGCCCGUUAAUGGGUGAUGGCGUGCCUUUUGUAGAAUGAACCGGCGAGUUACGAUUUGAUGCAAGGUUAAGCAGUAAAUGUGGAGCCGUAGCGAAAGCGAGUCUGAAUAGGGCGUUUAGUAUUUGGUCGUAGACCCGAAACCAGGUGAUCUACCCUUGGUCAGGUUGAAGUUCAGGUAACACUGAAUGG
This 771-nucleotide ribosomal RNA is filed under the name Staphylococcus aureus. RNAcentral describes it as "partial 23S ribosomal RNA". It matches the Rfam family "Bacterial large subunit ribosomal RNA", at positions 1 to 769 of the family's 2925-position model. The record is from RNAcentral. Lineage: Bacteria; Bacillati; Bacillota; Bacilli; Caryophanales; Staphylococcaceae.